Molecule: long non-coding RNA, 1853 nt
Organism: Dendronephthya gigantea
Lineage: Eukaryota; Metazoa; Cnidaria; Anthozoa; Malacalcyonacea; Nephtheidae
Exons: 3
Source: RefSeq, a predicted model, not a curated record
UUGGGGCUCAUCGUUCAUCUCUGCAGCUUUACACCUAUGCACUUCAUCAAAAUUAAUAACAAUCAUCUAAAUUAUCCCGAUGGUUAGCUAGAUCUUCGAUCGCAGUAUUUUAUUUUAUAAUUUGUAAAGUGCAUUCUAUUUCAUUCUUAUACUAAGUUAUUUAACAUAUAGUCACUAGUCAGUAAGACGAAAAGCGCGGUUUUGUCAUUUCCUGAAAACGGCUCGACCAUUUCUCACACACAUUAGCCGAUCCAACAUUAUAAGCAAAAAAUUAAGGCAUCACACUUUAAUAUGAGAAUGUUAUGAAUGUAAUAUAUGCAUAUGACGUAUGUUAUUAUCUGCAUUAUAUUUUUGGCCUAUAACGCUGGAUCGGGUAAUGUAUAUAACUAUAGAAUAGUAUACAUGGAUAUAUCAUAUUUAUAUUUAAAUCCACCUUUCCAGUGCUUCGUAAAUUGUUUUGUAUUUAACUUUGUCCUUUGUCAGUAUCUGCAAUAGAGACCGUUUGUAAUCGUAAUGUUUCAACUGAAUUUUUCCCGGUAAAACUGUUAACAAAUUAUUAAUAGAGAAAUUGUUCACGAACUUUGAUUUGAAUGCGUAAAUGCCAUGUCAACGUCUUUUCCACACAAAUAAAUUAUUCUGACAUAUCUAGCCUUGUCAUGCAUGGUUUUAUAUUGAGAGGAGUAAACGUUGUCCGCUCAUUUUAUCGCUUGGAGCCUUUGACUGAAGACUGAACAUUUGAAAUAUUGCUCGAUUGUAAAUAUUUAUCGCCAUGAAUUCUAAAUUCAUUAUCUGCUUGUUUCUUGUGAUGUUCACCGUCUCGAAUUCAAACUUGGUGAAACGACGGGUGAACUCGGAAAAUUUUUCUGAAUGCGAAAUAAACGGCAUGUUUUGUUGCAUUAUUGGAUUUUUUCCUCCGAGACAUUGUGAUUACAACGGCGAAUAUCCGAAAUAUGAGUGCCCUCCCCAUAAAACUUGUUGCAAGGAUGCGAACAGUUGUUUCUAAUGCUGCCAUAAUAAGGUACAUGUGUAUAUAUAUAUUAGACUAACUAUACCAUUUAAUUUAUUAUAUGGCUUGAUAUGCCAUACGUUAAUCAUGAAAGCUAACGUAGCUAAUAUAAGAGAAAAGAUAUUAUAAAUAUAUAAUCAAUUCUUUAUUUAUUGUUUUCUAUAUAUAAAAAAGAUUGCUGCCUAUACAUAUAUAGUUGAAAAUUGAUACAAACAAGAUAAAUAUUAGCAAAAUAUACAUAAUUCAUGUGUGUAUCAUUGUAUCAUGUAUAAUCAUUUAUCUUUGAACUAUAUUUUAGACUAACUAUGCUUAUAGCAUUUUUUAAACUUUCCUGUUAGAUACCGAAAAGGCUUAAAGUUAUGACGUGGAAAGUAUAGUUAUAGAAAGGUGGACAAAUACAUAUGAUAUUACAUGAUUUGAAUUUGUUGAAACGGGAUUAGAACUUCAAUAAAGAUUAGAACAGCUUUACUGGUGUAGUCUUAUCAUGCAUUGUUCUUUCCAAACCGGCUCCAUGUAUUUUUUGUAAAGGGAAAUUAUCACCCCAUGCUUCCAGAAAUAAAAAAUAUGUCUAACCGCAUAAAAGGUGAAUAUUUUCUUAGGGGUAAGCAUAAAAAAAAAUUCUGUAACAUAAAUAAUUUCCCUAACAUGCACAUUCGCGCCAAUAUUCCUGUGCACUGAAUCUAUAUAAAUCGCGAUUCUGUUUCGCUUAACAUAUUCGCCUGUACAUAGUUCGUCUGGAUAGUUUGUCUUGUGCACAGACGAAUAAUCUGCGAGACGGAUCAUUCGUCCGGGAAAAAAUACGAUCCCUUACAUUACUCCGCUCCACAACUACAUUUAGUCCACUUCA